GCUGGGCAUGGUGGCACCUGCCUCUAGUCCCAGCUACUUGGGAGGCUGAGUUGGGAGGAUCCCUUGAGUCCAGGAGUUCUGGGCUGCAGUGUGCUAUGCUGAUCAGGUGUCCGCACUAAGUACGGCAUCAAUAUGGUGACCGCCCAGGAGCAGGGGACCACCAGGUUGCCUAAGGAGGGGUGAACUGGCCCAGGUCAGAAAUAUUGUAGGUGCUUUGAAUUCAGCAGAAUAAGCCAAUAUAGUCCAAUAGUCCAUAAUAAUAGUGGAUUAUCAGCA
RNAcentral lists this small RNA (276 nucleotides) under Octodon degus (degu). RNAcentral describes it as "Metazoan signal recognition particle RNA (ENSODEG00000025854.1)". It matches the Rfam family "Metazoan signal recognition particle RNA", at positions 1 to 207 of the family's 299-position model. From Rfam's summary of the family: The signal recognition particle (SRP) is a universally conserved ribonucleoprotein. It is involved in the co-translational targeting of proteins to membranes. The record is from RNAcentral. Lineage: Eukaryota; Metazoa; Chordata; Mammalia; Rodentia; Octodontidae.